UGCAUAUGGCAACAAUUUAAUAGGAACUGUAAUAUAUUCCUUGAAAACGCUAUAUUUGAAAAUCGUUUGAGGUUGAUAUUACAUUAUGGCGCAAUUUUGAUUUUAGUUACGUGGUUGAUUUGGCACCAGAGGAGCACAGUUUGUAUAAUAUAUACUUUUUCUUCGAUCAAUAGAUUUUGGAUACAUGCACAACCAGGACGAAUACGUUCAGCAAGGGACAUAUGCUGGCAUCUUAAAGAGACAGUUGCUGUUGGUGGCUACGCAUUACGCAAAUCAACCAGGCAGAUGCUACGACUCGUUACCGUUCAGGCACAUGGACCGUGCGAUUUGGAAAGCAAGAUCAAAAUUAUUUAAACGCGUCAAACUAACACAAGGAAGUACACCAUAAAUAACUUUUAUUACCGCUCGCCGCACGUUUUCUGUUAUUACUUUCUGUAUGGUUUUACGUUGUCGGGAAGAUGAGAAUUUUGUCAAGACCGAAGAUAGCAAAAUCAGUAAAAUUAUAUACUAUAAUAUAAAAAAGUGUAGUAUGACCAAAUAGUAAUCAUCAUUCACAGUAUCUCAACAGUGCGUCGGCGGUUGAUAUUAUUAGACAUUAUAGCAAAUUAAUUACCUAAUUUACUGGCAAAUCUGGUUAAGUAACGCAACUAUUGUUUUUUGUUUUCAUAUAAAAGACACGCUUUUUGAAUUUAUGUGGAUAUUUUUCUAAUUUGGUUAAAUUUUAAAAUAUAUUUUUUUAAUUUUUUAAUUUUUUUAAAAUAAUUUUAAAAUAUUAUUGUCCGACUCAAAUUUUUGCAAUAUUUUUUCAGUUUUAAAUUAUUUUUAACCGAAAAUUUGAAAAUCAUCACGUCACUGUUUUCGACGUAAAUAAAAAGUCCCGCUGCUUUACAGCAUCCAAAGUAAUCUUUAUUUUCUAAUGAAUUAUUGACCGGACAGUUUAACUACAUCACACAGAUUUUUUUUUUAUGAUUUUGAGAUAUCAUCACAGAUUACAUUACAAUUUACAUUUGAUACUUCUAAGUUAUAUGUCUCUUGGUAAUAUAUGCCUUCUUCAGAACAUAAAUUAUUGCUGCCCAAAGACGAAAGAGUGCAACAUGCUGGCUAUUGACCUACUCGGAGAAAAGAAAGCAUAGGAGGCCAAAUUGGCUAAAACCAUUUCCCGCGCAGCCUUGCGGAAUCGCUUCCUCCACUCCCGUCGGCAAGUGACGAAUUGUAGACGAUCACUUUAUGGGAUAAUAUACAAACACCGAUAUGU
Cylas formicarius (sweet potato weevil) is the source of this 1255-nucleotide long non-coding RNA. RefSeq lists it as uncharacterized. The transcript has 3 exons. NCBI's taxonomy places the organism in Eukaryota, Metazoa, Arthropoda, Insecta, Coleoptera, Brentidae. The record is from RefSeq and is a predicted model, not a curated record.